UCCGUUGUCGGCCCUGCGGUUAAGAUAUCUGGCUUUCACCCAGGAGACCUGGGUUCAAUUCCCGGCAAUGGAA
Molecule: transfer RNA, 73 nt
Filed under: Ipomoea nil (Japanese morning glory)
Lineage: Eukaryota; Viridiplantae; Streptophyta; Magnoliopsida; Solanales; Convolvulaceae
Rfam family: tRNA
About the family: Transfer RNA (tRNA) molecules are approximately 80 nucleotides in length. Their secondary structure includes four short double-helical elements and three loops (D, anti-codon, and T loops).
Source: Rfam by way of RNAcentral